Molecule: unclassified non-coding RNA, 314 nt
Filed under: Hevea brasiliensis (rubber tree)
Lineage: Eukaryota; Viridiplantae; Streptophyta; Magnoliopsida; Malpighiales; Euphorbiaceae
Source: RNAcentral
GUCAUAGAGAAUAAAGAUAAAAAUAACAAUCAUUAAAGUGAAACCACCAAAAGAGAGAUACAAAAUAUGUUUCCAAGUCCAACCAUAUUUAAGUGAAUUUAGUUAUGAGUUCCUACAGGUAUACACAAUAAAAAAUGUUAAACCAAGUUAGUUCAUACUGAAGAAAUGACCAGAAGUCAACCAAUGGGCAUGCUCCAUGUAAGUGUACAUAAGACACCGAAUCAUUCUCAAUUUUUUUGCAAGAUACAACUCAAGGAAUUGAAACCAAACUUUGUCAGGUGUUGGGAGCAAAGGCGAGACAAGUGUGAUACGUA